This 718-nucleotide long non-coding RNA is filed under the name Vulpes vulpes (red fox). RNAcentral describes it as "lncRNA (ENSVVUG00000000862.1)". The record is from RNAcentral. Lineage: Eukaryota; Metazoa; Chordata; Mammalia; Carnivora; Canidae.
GGCCAAGUCUGAAUAUCGGGGCUGACUCCUGAGCAAAAGUGGUCAGUGGUGGAGAGAGAAAGGGACCUUGCAACAAUUUGGAAUCCUGGAUCUCUAGUGUGUCUGGAAAACUACUUGUGUGCCAGUUGACACCUGGAUAAACCAGAGGUCUGUGGACCCCUCCCAAGAACAGGUUUGUACCGGAUUGUGAGGUCUGGGAAACCAGGGACCUUAUUUCACUUGGAAACCCUGAUUCUUAGUACAGAACCUGAGACCUGAGUUUCUGAUCAAAGCAACAGAAUGAAUACAGAUAAUCUAAAGGUUCACCAAAUAUCAAGACAUUUUCCUAAGUACAAACAGAAUGACGACUUGGAGAUUCUGGUGACAGAGAUAAGACCCAGGUUAUGGUCACUUUCCACAGCUCUUGCCCUGGGCUUUCCAAUCAGGAAGCUAGCUGGGGUGAUGGAACUGCUCUGAACCAGCUUCCCAGGCGCCUGGCAUCUAAAUCAAAUUUUAACUUUAAUUCACUGAGACAUUUUAACUUCGUAGUAGAGAAACUUCAGGAGCCAUGAAACAGAUUCGCAUCAGGGGCCUCCUGACACGAAUCCCUGGGAAGACACAACAUUGCUUCAGUGUUAUGGCUGCCCGAAGUGUAUAAUUUCAACCCAAUCACAAGGAAACACCAGCAAACGCAAAUUGAAAGUUUACAAAACUGCUGGCCUGUACUCUUUUAAAAAAU